UGGAGUAAUUAAAGUAAUCAGUUAAAACAUUUGAUUGCAAUCAAUCAGUUAGCUUUUUUCGUCAAAUAUUUUUGCGCGGGAAGCCACAAGCGACAUCGCUUCUAGUCAGUCACAAAUGUUCGUGGUAAGAUGAGGUUUGAUUUUGUGUAGGAUGUAUAGAUAGGCUGACUGUGGGUUAUGACAGUGAGUUCGAAACAAUAUUCAGGUGCAGAAAUAUUAAAGGUUAAAGAUUCAAAGACAAAAAGUAACGAACGGGAAAUAUUACAACGUUUUAAAACAGGACAAUUUAUCAUUGCACCAAAAGAAAUUCGCCAAGUUCCAGGUUUUCUUCCCGAGUGAGAUGGAGGCCUAUCACGUCUGAAGAGCAACUUACUGAAACACUUUUUGAAAGCGGGGAAGACAAUUUAUCAUUAUAUCUAAAGACAUGCGGAGUUAUUUGUCCGAUUAUGCAUCACUGAGAGAGGUGGCUGCCUCGAGUCUAAGAGCAAUUGUUGGGAAGAAAAAGAAGAGAGGACCUGAAUAUUAAGUUUUCUAAAACACUGCUUGAAAGAGUCAUUGCAUCAAACGGAAUCGACAUUGUUAAUAGUCUGGUGCAUUUUGGAGUGAGAUGGAAGCCUAUAGAGUCUAAAGAGUAAAGAGCAAGUGCAGAAAUAUUAAAGGUUAAAGAUUCAAAGACACAAAGUAACGAACGGGAAAUAUUACAACGUUUUAAAACAGGACAAUUUAUCAUUGCACCAAAAGAAAUUCGCCAAGUUCCAGGAUUUCUUCACUGAGUGAGAUGGAGGCCUAUCACGUCUGAAGAGCAACUUACUGAAACACUUCUUGAAAGCGGGAAAGACAAUUUAUCAUUAUAUCUAAAGACAUGCGGAGUUAUUUGUCCGAUUAUGCAUCACUGAGAAAGGUGGCUGCCUCGAGUCUAAAGAGCAAUUUUCUAAAACACUGCUUGAAAGAGUCAUUGCAUCAAACGGAAUCGACAUUGUUAAUAGUCUGGUGCAUCACGGAGUGAGAUGGAAGCCUAUAGAGUCUAAAGAGUAAAGAGCAAGAUUCCUCAAUUAAGGAACUUGACGAUUCUUUAUGUAUUUCAAAAGAAAAUAAAACUCAAUUAUUCAAAUAUGAAGAAGAGUUUUAUUGAAGAUAACUAAGAUGUGCUAGCCAACAAAUGCAUUGAGUCCAUACACAAGACUUUGAUAUUGAAAAAAGUCACUGUUUGUUUGAGACUGUGUCCCAUUGCCAUACGUACUUUAAGCUCGUAUGCAUGUGCACUUAUUACCAGUAUGUGGUAGAAAACAAAUGCAUUGGGCAGCAUACACGAAUGCCUUUAUAUCAAAUAAGACUGUUGUUUAAAGCUAUACCAAAAUGCCAUACACAAUGUAAAAGGAUUAUAUGCGGAAGUUUAACAUGGGUCAACCCGUGAGGAAUUAACUAUUUGUAUAAUUUGAACAAUUGCAAACGGAUUCUUGAUUGUAUAUUUAUCAAUGAAUUGAAUCAUAGCUCAGAAAACUAAAUACAAUUGGUAUUUGUAUUUUGACACCCUGCAAUGUAAUCCUGUAUUUGAUGUCCUGGUAUGAAAAAUUUAAAAUAAUUCUUUCGUUUUACGUUAUUCUUAUAUUUUUAUUACUGUUAUUAUAUGUUACUGAUUUGUGAUUUAUAUUAUUGUUUAUUACUGAUAUUGUAUAUUUUUUAAAUAGC
Molecule: long non-coding RNA, 1689 nt
Organism: Styela clava
Lineage: Eukaryota; Metazoa; Chordata; Ascidiacea; Stolidobranchia; Styelidae
Source: RefSeq, a predicted model, not a curated record